GACGAACGCUGGCGGCGUGCUUAACACAUGCAAGUCGAACGGAAAGGCCCUGCUUUUGUGGGGUGCUCGAGUGGCGAACGGGUGAGUAACACGUGAGUAACCUGCCCUUGACUUUGGGAUAACUUCAGGAAACUGGGGCUAAUACCGGAUAGGAGCUCCUGCUGCAUGGUGGGGGUUGGAAAGUUUCGGCGGUUGGGGAUGGACUCGCGGCUUAUCAGCUUGUUGGUGGGGUAGUGGCUUACCAAGGCUUUGACGGGUAGCCGGCCUGAGAGGGUGACCGGCCAAAUUGGGACUGAGAUACGGCACAGACUCCUACGGGAGGCAGCAGUGGGGAAUAGUGCACAAUGGGCGGAAGCCUGAUGCAGCAACGCCGCGUGCGGGAUGACGGCCUUCGGGUUGUAAACCGCUUUCGCCUGUGACGAAGCGUGAGUGACGGUAAUGGGUAAAGAAGCACCGGCUAACUACGUG
RNAcentral lists this ribosomal RNA (468 nucleotides) under uncultured bacterium. RNAcentral describes it as "partial 16S ribosomal RNA". It matches the Rfam family "Bacterial small subunit ribosomal RNA", at positions 28 to 507 of the family's 1533-position model. The record is from RNAcentral.